This 591-nucleotide long non-coding RNA is filed under the name Taeniopygia guttata (zebra finch). RNAcentral's name for it is "lncRNA (ENSTGUG00000023901.1)". Lineage: Eukaryota; Metazoa; Chordata; Aves; Passeriformes; Estrildidae. The record is from RNAcentral.
AUUAGGAUGUCUCAGAAUAUAAAUAAUUGUCUUUCUGAACCAAUAGCUUUUUAAUGCUGGACAUGACAGGAUAUUCUAUCUCAUACUGAGUACCACGGGCUGUAGAAGAUGCAGUUUUGGGAUACACAAUCCUGCUCCCCGGGAAGGAGUUUGGGAGUUGAUGAGGAUGCUGUUUAUUUGUAGGAAAUGAUUGCUCUGAUCUCCACUCUAAUUCUAGGUGCAUUUGCUGGCGUUGUCUGAACCUGAAGUGAUGUGCAGACUUUAGCUUAGCUUUCUUUGAGGGUGAAUGGUGUCCCUGGUGCCCUGGGAUAACAUCCAGAUUUGUCCUGAAUGGUGUCUCUGUUCCUGCUUAGGAGCCUUGACUGGGUGGGUAAUGACGAAGCCCUGCUGUGCUGCUUGCCCAGAGUCCGCUCUCUCUGGGAAGCACCGAGGAGCUGGCACAGCAAACACCCUAUGUGCAGCCAGGAGUUUGGGGAGUGGAUAAUUUCUGCAGUUAAUCUUUCUCUCAAGGUAGGUGGAGAUGGCUUCACUUUGCUCACAUUAGCAGGUAGAAGUAAUCUGGGGAAGGAGGAAAUGGGAGGAACACAAUAG